Ananas comosus (pineapple) is the source of this 782-nucleotide long non-coding RNA. RefSeq lists it as uncharacterized. Lineage: Eukaryota; Viridiplantae; Streptophyta; Magnoliopsida; Poales; Bromeliaceae. The record is from RefSeq and is a predicted model, not a curated record. The transcript has 3 exons.
UUUCAACCCUUCCCUGUGAGUUCUCUUUCUCCACAUCCCUCACCUAUCCCUUUCUCAUUCCUCUUCACCCACCCUGGUUGUCCUUUUCUCCUUCCUCUUCACCCACCUUGGUUGGCCCUUUCUCAGAUCUGCUUCGUAGACGGCGGGGCCGAGGGCUCGGAUCUGCCUCAUACCCUCCCAUUCCCUGUGAGUUCUCUUCUCCACAUCCCUCGGCCGCCUUUCUCCUUAUACCCGUGUCGACGACGAUGGAGCCUACGGCGAUCCGCGUCAUCCCUUAGCUCUCGACCUGCUAGCUGUCGCACUACCCGCCAAUCUUUCACCUAGGGCUCGGAUCCUUCGCUAUUCUCCGAGUUUUGGAGUCGAUUUGAGCAGGUUACUAAUGGCAUUUUCCACACACUCUCCUCAAAACAAAACAAUUCGGUGCAACUGCAAUGAGAUAGCCCUCAUAAGAGUUUCACAGAAGCCUCAAAGCAAAGGAAGAAAAUUCUAUGGCUGUCCAAACUAUGGAAAUGAGGAUAAUUAUUGCGACUUUUUCAUGUGAGUCAAGAGUCUCCUCCCAAAGAAAUUCACAAGAAUGGAUGCAACAACACAUAAAUUAUGAGUUAGCCAAAUCAGCUGAGCGUAUACAGAACCUGAAAGUUAGGAUUGAAGAAGCUGAAAGAAAGAUUUACUACAUCCUUUUCCUUAUAGUGGUUUUACUUGUUAAAAUAAUUUUUAUGUAGUUUCUAAUCUAAUAGUCAGUUGUGUUGAAGAAAAAAUAUUUUGUAUUCUAAUAUGUAAUA